This 332-nucleotide unclassified non-coding RNA is filed under the name soil metagenome. RNAcentral describes it as "partial contains 5.8S ribosomal RNA, internal transcribed spacer 2, and large subunit ribosomal RNA". The stretch from base 1 to 120 matches the Rfam family "5.8S ribosomal RNA", at positions 35 to 154 of the family's 154-position model. The record is from RNAcentral.
GAUGAAGAACGUAGUAAAAUGCGAUAAGUAAUGUGAAUUGCAGAAUUCAGUGAAUCAUCGAAUCUUUGAACACACAUUGCGCCCGCCAGUAUUCUGGCGGGCAUGCCUGUUCGAGCGUCAUUUCAACCCUCAAGCACAGCUUGGUGUUGGGACUCGCGUUAAUUCGCGUUCCCCAAAUUGAUUGGCGGUCACGUCGAGCUUCCAUAGCGUAGUAGUAAAACCCUCGUUACUGGUAAUCGUCGCGGCCACGCCGUUAAACCCCAACUUCUGAAUGUUGACCUCGGAUCAGGUAGGAAUACCCGCUGAACUUAAGCAUAUCAAUAAGCGGAGGA